RNAcentral lists this unclassified non-coding RNA (376 nucleotides) under Hevea brasiliensis (rubber tree). The record is from RNAcentral. Lineage: Eukaryota; Viridiplantae; Streptophyta; Magnoliopsida; Malpighiales; Euphorbiaceae.
AUAUCAUGGCGUAAAGCACCACUUUUUAGGGAAGUUGUCUUCAAAACAACAUAGGAAUCGCCCGUGAAAAAUUUGCCAUAAGAAGACUUUGGGACGGGAACAGGACGAAAGUUUUCAAUCCGCCAUAUUUCAAGUCCCGCCUUCUGUCCAGCUCCUUGGAAAGCUGGAUCCAGAUCUCUCAUGGAAACAGCCAUAUUGUAUCUGCACUUCAGUUAUUUGUAUUUCCAACACUUUGGCUUGAUUACAGAAACAAGAGUGCCCUGCUAUUGGAGGAGAUAUCGCAAUAAAGAAGUAGCCCAGAUCCAAUCUAAUGACCAGAAUUAGGAGAGAACUAGCUUUUUUAUUUUUCUUCUAAUUUUCCCGGACUGGCAGAGGC